GUCAUUUUUAUCCAAACUGAUGAAGACUGUGUGAAAAUGAGCCUUCCCAUGAGCAAACUGAUAAACAUGGCCCCAGAUGAAGAGAAUGUUUGGAUGACAGGAUUGCCUGAAAAAUAUCUCAACAGACCUGAAACGUUAGAAUUUCAACACAUGUGCCUCGCGGAAUUUGUGUCGGAAUACAGGGUCCUUUAUGGAAAACAAAUUGAAGGACGAAAUGCAAUCCCCCUCCUAAAUGAUGCCGGAUACAUCCAGAAGAGAACAAUGGGCAAACCAGCAGUUAUCAGAUUUACCCGUUUCUCAGAGAAGAAAAGACCAGAAAAGUUUUACAGACGGCUUCUGAAGUUGUACUUUCCACACAGAAGAGAUGAGGACCUGAAAAAUGAGGAACACACAACUUACAAAGCCUUUUACGACAAUGGACUCUGUGGUAGCUGGCAAGUUAAACAGUACGUUGAGUGGAACCGCAAAAGAUACGAAGGUGAAGGAAAGAAAAUCGACAAGAUAAUGGAAGAACUGACAAAGCAAGGACCGGUUCGCAAUGCUUGGAACACUUUUGCUCCUGAAGUUGAAUUGGACCGUUUGGAAUGCGUAGCGGAGCGACCCUCAAUCGAUGAAAGUGAAGAACAAGACCCUGUCCCAGAAUACCAAGUUGAUGUCAACAGUGGAGCCAUGCCAGCAAUCGAAAUACCCAAAUUGAGCCCUGAUUUUAUUAGACAAAUGUACCGUAGUUUAAAUGAGACUCAAGCGUCCAUGUUUUACGCCAUUCGCCAUUGGUGUCUGCAACGUGUCUGGGGUCAAAAUCCAGACCCGUUCUUUUAUUUUUUGACUGGAGGGGCGGGCUGUGGCAAGUCUCAUGUUAUCAAAUGUGUUUACCAGGAAGCAACCAAGCUCUUGCGCCAGCUUCCCAGAUUUCACGAUAUUGGUGACAUGUCUCAGCCCACGGUACUCCUCACAGCUUUUACUGGAACUGCAGCUUACAACAUCUCAGGCAAGACUUUACAUUCAGUUUUGAAGCUACCCAAAAGCUUAAAGCCACCAUACAAAGGACUUGGAAAUACACUGGAUGAAGUGAGAGCCGUUCUUUCCAAUGUAGAAAUCUUAAUCAUUGAUGAAAUCUCCAUGAUCUCCAAAGACUUGUUUUCAUAUGUCCACUGGAGAUUUCAACAAAUUAAGGGAAACACAAGACCAUUUGGAGGGAUUUCUGUUUUGGCUGUGGGAGAUUUCUACCAGCUGCCACCAGUGGGAGGAGCAAAACCUCUUUGUGUCACUGAGGCCGGCGUCCUUGAUAUCUGGAACGAAAAUUUCCACAUGGUCAGUCUGACGGAAAUCAUGCGACAGAAAGACGACAGAGCAUUUGCGGAGCUCCUGAACCGGAUUAGAGUUAAAGGGAAAGCAGAUUUACUCAGCGACGGCGACAGAUCUCUCUUAACGCAAACUAUUACCGACCCCAAAGAGUGUCCAAUGGACGUGCUGCAUGUUUUUGCGACAAACAAAGAGGUGGACGCUCACAAUGCAGCAGUUGUGGCUUCUUUAUCAACAGUAAUAGUUGAUGUUCAGGCAGAGGACUACAAGAGGGAUACAAAAACAGGAAACAUGACAAAUCUAGGUAGCUGCGUCAAAGCCAAGAAACGAGAUUUGCCUGACAAUCUACAAGUCGGAUUGGGAAUCAGAGUCAUGAUCAUAAGAAACCUGAACGUAGAGGAUGGUCUUGUCAAUGGAACCUUUGGCACUAUUGCAGAUAUCAUCACCAGGACUAAAGAUGGAAACAGAACCGUGAAAUUAAUAGGACUGAAACUGGAUAGUCCCACAGCUGGCCACACCAAAAAAAUCAAAGGGAAACCAGACAACUUUGUUUACAUCGAGAGAUUUGAGGAACAAACCAGCAUAAAAGGAGUUGUUCGACAUCAGUUUCCAAUCAAGUUGGCAUUUGGAUGUACAGCACACAAAGUACAAGGGAUGACCAUGAAGUCUGCAGUUGUUUCUUUGAAGAGAGUUUUUGAACACGGAAAGGCAUACGUCGCCCUCAGUCGCACAACUUCUCUGGAAGGACUUAAAAUCAUUGAUUUGGAUGAGAAAAAGAUCUACGCCGAUGAAAAUAUCAGAGCAGCUAUGGAUUCGAUGAGAACAGCAUCGUUCUCAAACGCCAGACCCCUCUUGAAUUUUCAAUCACGUCAUCAAAGUGCAACUUUAAGAAUUAUUCAUCACAACGUCGAAGGUCUCAUCUCUCAUUCUGAGGACAUGAAACACCAUCAUGAACUCAGAUUGGCAGAUAUUUUAUGCCUUACCGAGACUCAUUUAUUUGGAUCUUCUGCUCCAGCUUGUUGCCAAAUGGAGGGUUAUUGUUUCUUUUCACGCAACAGACAUGUUUCUUAUUCCAACCGAGUGGACAUGUCUACCAAAGAGGGGGGAGGAGUCGCCACUUACUGCAGGAGUCUUCUACAACCCCAGGAGCGGAGAUACUUUCACAAUGUUACCGAUCUUGAAUACAACGUUGUGAAAGUGGAUGCGCCGAUCACAGCCCUCAUUGCCACGGUUUACAGGCCACCAAGUUAUGAUCUAGCUACGUUUUUGACAAACAUGGAAAAUCUUUUGGAUGGCCUGAAUUCAAUGGAUAUUCAGCCAGUUCUGGUAUUGGGAGACUUCAACGAGGACCUCCUCUCUCCGGGGAAAAAACCAAUCAAGGAGUUGUUUGGAAGCAAAGGAUUUACUCAACUCAUCUCGGAUCCAACAACGGAAAGGCAGACUCUCAUUGACCACAUUUACAUUUCGCAACCAGAAUAUUGUGUUCAGUCAGGUGUGUUGCAGACUUAUUACAGUUACCACAACCCUGUAUAUUGUAUUUUGGCUUCAUUUUCAGCUGCAUCUUCACCAUGACUUGAGAGGAGGGCUCGGAAACAAAUUACACUAGGACAAUAGUCCUGUCAUUUUUAAUGGUACUCCAUCUUAGGUAAAAACACCAAAGUGAGAACAAAUAAUCAGAAUCAAAUGUCCUCAAUGAUUCGCUUGGAUACUGGAAAUCCAGUUGAUGUAUUUAAAGGGUAAUAAGAAUAACGGUGUCGGCUGACGGCCUGUACAGGUCCAGUAACGGCUGUAAGCUUAUUGCUCAUGAAUACUUCAACUUGAGAUGACCACAGUACUCCAUUUGAGGCACCGAGUGGUCACCUAGGAUACCCCUGGGAUAUUGUAAGAAAGUGAAUGUAUUUAACAGCUAAUAAGAAUAGCGGUGUCGGCUGACGGCCUGUACAGGUCCAGUAACGGCUGUGAAGCUUAUUACUCUUGAAUACAGCUACUUCAGACGACCACUGAACUAAUUUGGAGACCAGUGCAUUUUUGAAACAUUUUAUUUAACUCCCCUAGAGAACCUGCUAGAGCUCUCUAGUAUUCUUUUUAUUUUCCUUUUUUGGUUUUCUUUCUGAUCAUGAGCCAAUGCUCCAGUCUGAUGGAGCAGUUUUUUCCACACUAUGGACAUUCUCCACUCCGCUCUGUUUGCUUGGCCAUUAUGUUAAUUUGCUUUGAGUGGAAAGAACUGUUUUUUGCCCAGUUUUAGUAAGUUUUUGCAGGCUUGAGAGCAUGCAACGCACGGCAUGACUCAUGAGGGUUCCAAGAAGAGAUGGAGGAAGCUGGACCUGGUCGAUUUGCAGAGCGGCCCAUCAUACGUCACCAAGCGCAGGACACCCCAACCCACCUGGCAGCCUUGAUCUUCCAAGCAGU
This is an RNA transcript of Girardinichthys multiradiatus, 3711 nucleotides long. RefSeq lists it as uncharacterized. Lineage: Eukaryota; Metazoa; Chordata; Actinopteri; Cyprinodontiformes; Goodeidae. The transcript is spliced from 2 exons. The record is from RefSeq and is a predicted model, not a curated record.